RNAcentral lists this ribosomal RNA (389 nucleotides) under uncultured bacterium. Its description in RNAcentral is "bacterial SSU rRNA". It matches the Rfam family "Bacterial small subunit ribosomal RNA", at positions 30 to 419 of the family's 1533-position model. The record is from RNAcentral.
AUUGAACGCUGGCGGCAUGCUUUACACAUGCAAGUCGAACGGCAGCGCGGGCUUCGGCCUGGCGGCGAGUGGCGAACGGGUGAGUAAUAUAUCGGAACGUACCCAAGAGUGGGGGAUAACGUAGCGAAAGUUACGCUAAUACCGCAUACGAUCUAAGGAUGAAAGCAGGGGAUCGCAAGACCUUGUGCUCCUGGAGCGGCCGAUAUCUGAUUAGCUAGUUGGUGAGGUAAAGGCUCACCAAGGCAACGAUCAGUAGCUGGUCUGAGAGGACGACCAGCCACACUGGAACUGAGACACGGUCCAGACUCCUACGGGAGGCAGCAGUGGGGAAUUUUGGACAAUGGGGGCAACCCUGAUCCAGCAAUGCCGCGUGAGUGAAGAAGGCCUUC